CCUUUGUACACACCGCCCGUCGCUACUACCGAUUGAAUGGCUCGGUGAGGCCUUCGGACUGGCUCAGGAGGGUUGGUAACGACCCCCCCGAGCCGGAAAGUUGGUCAAACCCGGUCAUUUAGAGG
RNAcentral lists this ribosomal RNA (125 nucleotides) under Aspergillus sp. Its description in RNAcentral is "partial small subunit ribosomal RNA". It matches the Rfam family "Eukaryotic small subunit ribosomal RNA", at positions 1657 to 1779 of the family's 1831-position model. Lineage: Eukaryota; Fungi; Ascomycota; Eurotiomycetes; Eurotiales; Aspergillaceae. The record is from RNAcentral.